RNAcentral lists this microRNA precursor (62 nucleotides) under Tetraodon nigroviridis (spotted green pufferfish). RNAcentral's name for it is "Tni-Mir-23-P3_pre stem-loop". It matches the Rfam family "mir-23 microRNA precursor family", at positions 9 to 68 of the family's 73-position model. The record is from RNAcentral. Lineage: Eukaryota; Metazoa; Chordata; Actinopteri; Tetraodontiformes; Tetraodontidae.
GGAAUUCCUGGCAGAGUGAUUUUUGAGACUACAGGACUGAAUCACAUUGCCAGGGAUUUCCA